UUCCGGUUGAUCCCGCCGGACCUGACUGCUAUCGGAUUAAUACUAAGCCAUGCGAGUUUUUGUAGUAAUACAAGGCAUACGGCUCAGUAACACGUAGUCAACCUACCCUAUGGACGAGGAUAAUCUCGGGAAACUGAGCAUAAUACUCGAUAGAUCAUAAUGCCUGGAAUGGUUUAUGGUUGAAAUGAUUCGUUCGCCAUAGGAUGGGACUGCGGCCUAUCAGCUUGUUGGUGGGGUAAUGGCCCACCAAGGCGAUUACAGGUACGGGCUCUGAGAGGAGAAGCCCGGAGAUGGGUACUGAGACACGGACCCAGGCCCUAUGGGGCGCAGCAGGCGAGAAAACUUUGCAAUGUGCGAAAGCACGACAAGGUUAGUCCGAGUGAUUUCUGCUAAAGAAAUCUUUUGCAAGUCGUAAAACCACUAGUGAAUAAGGGGUGGGCAAGUUCUGGUGUCAGCCGCCGCGGUAAAACCAGCACCUCAAGUGGUCAGGAGGAUUAUUGGGCCUAAAGCAUCCGUAGCCGGCUCUGUUAGUUUUCGGUUAAAUCCAUGCGCUCAACGUAUGGGCUGCCGAGAAUACUGCAUAGCUAGGGAGUGGGAGAGGUAGACGGUACUCGGUAGGAAGGGGUAAAAUCCUUUGAUCUAUCGAUGACCACCUGUGGCGAAGGCGGUCUACCAGAACACGUUCGACGGUGAGGGAUGAAAGCUGGGGGAGCAAACCGGAUUAGAUACCCGGGUAGUCCCAGCUGUAGACGAUGCAGACUCGAUGA
Molecule: ribosomal RNA, 767 nt
Filed under: uncultured Candidatus Nitrosopumilus sp.
Lineage: Archaea; Thermoproteati; Nitrososphaerota; Nitrososphaeria; Nitrosopumilales; Nitrosopumilaceae
Description: bacterial SSU rRNA
Rfam family: Archaeal small subunit ribosomal RNA
Source: RNAcentral